AUUGAACGCUGGCGGAAUGCUUUACACAUGCAAGUCGAACGGCAGCACGGACUUCGGUCUGGUGGCGAGUGGCGAACGGGUGAGUAAUGUAUCGGAACGUGCCCAGUCGUGGGGGAUAACGUAGUGAAAAUUACGCUAAUACCGCAUACGAUCGAUGGAUGAAAGCGGGGGAUCGCAAGACCGCGCGCGAUUGGAGCGGCCGAUAUCAGAGUAGGUAGUUGUUGGGGUAAAGGCACACCAAGCCAACGAUCUGUAGCUGGUCUGAGAGGACGACCAGCCACACUGGAACUGAGACACGGUCCAGACUCCUACGGGAGGCAGCAGUGGGGAAUUUUGGACAAUGGGCGAAAGCCUGAUCCAGCCAUUCCGCGUGCAGGAUGAAGGCCCUCGGGUUGUAAACUGCUUUUGUACAGAACGAAAAGGUUUCUACUAAUACUAGGAGCUCAUGACGGUACUGUAAGAAUAAGCACCGGCUAACUACGUGCCAGCCGCCGCGGUAA
Molecule: ribosomal RNA, 500 nt
Filed under: uncultured bacterium
Lineage: Bacteria
Description: partial 16S ribosomal RNA
Rfam family: Bacterial small subunit ribosomal RNA
Source: RNAcentral